Molecule: non-coding RNA, 149 nt
Filed under: Nomascus leucogenys (northern white-cheeked gibbon)
Lineage: Eukaryota; Metazoa; Chordata; Mammalia; Primates; Hylobatidae
Source: Rfam by way of RNAcentral
GCCAGGUGAGGUGGCGCCUGCCUGUAGUCCCAGCUACUCAGGAGGCUGAGGCAGGAGAAUCACCUGAGCCCAGGAAGAUCGAGGCUGCAGUGAGUCAUGAUUGCACCACUGCACUCCAGCCUAGGUGAUAAAGUGAGACCCUGCCUCAA